RNAcentral lists this ribosomal RNA (753 nucleotides) under uncultured Bacillota bacterium. Its description in RNAcentral is "bacterial SSU rRNA". It matches the Rfam family "Bacterial small subunit ribosomal RNA", at positions 69 to 806 of the family's 1533-position model. Lineage: Bacteria; Bacillati; Bacillota. The record is from RNAcentral.
UUGAUGGGAGCUUGCUCCCUGAUAGUUAGCGGCGGACGGGUGAGUAACACGUGGGCAACCUACCUUUAAGACUGGGAUAACUUCGGGAAACCGGAGCUAAUACCGGAUAAUAUGUAAGACCACAUGGUCUUACAUUGAAAGAUGGCUUCGGCUAUCACUUAUAGAUGGGCCCGCGGCGCAUUAGCUAGUUGGUGAGGUAAUGGCUCACCAAGGCGACGAUGCGUAGCCGACCUGAGAGGGUGAUCGGCCACACUGGGACUGAGACACGGCCCAGACUCCUACGGGAGGCAGCAGUAGGGAAUCUUCCGCAAUGGACGAAAGUCUGACGGAGCAACGCCGCGUGAACGAUGAAGGCUUUCGGGUCGUAAAGUUCUGUUGUUAGGGAAGAACAAGUACCAGAGUAACUGCUGGUACCUUGACGGUACCUAACCAGAAAGCCACGGCUAACUACGUGCCAGCAGCCGCGGUAAUACGUAGGUGGCAAGCGUUAUCCGGAAUUAUUGGGCGUAAAGCGCUCGCAGGCGGUCUUUUAAGUCUGAUGUGAAAGCCCACGGCUCAACCGUGGAGGGUCAUUGGAAACUGGGAGACUUGAGUGCAGAAGAGGAGAGUGGAAUUCCACGUGUAGCGGUGAAAUGCGUAGAGAUGUGGAGGAACACCAGUGGCGAAGGCGACUCUCUGGUCUGUAACUGACGCUGAGGAGCGAAAGCGUGGGGAGCGAACAGGAUUAGAUACCCUGGUAGUCCACGCCGUAAA